Molecule: non-coding RNA, 649 nt
Filed under: Clostridium colicanis DSM 13634
Lineage: Bacteria; Bacillati; Bacillota; Clostridia; Eubacteriales; Clostridiaceae
Description: Bacterial small subunit ribosomal RNA
Rfam family: Bacterial small subunit ribosomal RNA
Source: Rfam by way of RNAcentral
UAAGUAUUCCGCCUGGGGAGUACGGUCGCAAGAUUAAAACUCAAAGGAAUUGACGGGGACCCGCACAAGCAGCGGAGCAUGUGGUUUAAUUCGAAGCAACGCGAAGAACCUUACCUAGACUUGACAUCUCCUGAAUUACUCGUAAUGGAGGAAGCCCUUCGGGGCAGGAAGACAGGUGGUGCAUGGUUGUCGUCAGCUCGUGUCGUGAGAUGUUGGGUUAAGUCCCGCAACGAGCGCAACCCUUAUCGUUAGUUGCUACCAUUAAGUUGAGCACUCUAACGAGACUGCCGCGGUUAACGUGGAGGAAGGUGGGGAUGACGUCAAAUCAUCAUGCCCCUUAUGUCUAGGGCUACACACGUGCUACAAUGGCCGGUACAACGAGAUGCAAACCCGUGAGGGGGAGCCAAACUCAAAAGCCGGUCCCAGUUCGGAUUGUAGGCUGAAACUCGCCUACAUGAAGUCGGAGUUGCUAGUAAUCGCGAAUCAGCAUGUCGCGGUGAAUACGUUCCCGGGUCUUGUACACACCGCCCGUCACACCAUGAGAGCCGGUAACACCCGAAGUCCGUGAGGUAACCUUUAUGGAGCCAGCGGCCGAAGGUGGGAUUGGUGAUUGGGGUGAAGUCGUAACAAGGUAGCCGUAGGAGAACCU